AUGGCGGCUCGGCGGCUGGCCGGCGCGGGCCGCGCGGUGCUCUCGCUGCCCAGCGUGCGGCGGCGGGCGACCAACUCCUGGGCCGCCGUCCGCGACACCUUCUUCUCCACCAAGGAAGUGUUCGAGAGCCACCGCGUCGUCUUCACCGUCGGCACCUCCAUCGCCUCCGUCCUCACGGCCUGGGCCGGUUACUCUCUUCGUCAUAUGCAGCAAACAAAGAUCGACAAGAGGCUUCAUUCCAUUGAGGAAUCUUUGAGGAACACCCACAAAGUUGAACAUGAUGAGAUCAAAAAGAUUGUUACCUCCUAUAAUAUUAGCACUUCAGCUUGUAUAGCCACUGCAUUGACAACUACGGUUGUUGGGUACGCCCUGGGGUGGCGCGGCGGAGCCUGGUACACCCGGAGGAUCGUCCGGAGGGAGCAGCAGAAGCUGAUGGGCCAGAUAAAGUCGCAGAACCGGUGGCACUGGCGCCCCUUCAGCAAGCUGAGGACCCGGUUCAGGAGCAACCGGCACGCCUCCAAGACCUCCGACGCCGCGCCACUUCCCGGCAAGGACGCCGAGGCCUCCAUCAACAAGGGCCAGGGCAGCGAGGCCCUUUCGAACAACGCAGCCUCGGCGAACGCCAGCAGUGGCUCCCAGCCAGCAGCGGCGGCCGCGGCGGGCUGCAGAUGA
This 672-nucleotide ribosomal RNA is filed under the name Triticum aestivum (bread wheat). Its description in RNAcentral is "partial small subunit ribosomal RNA". Lineage: Eukaryota; Viridiplantae; Streptophyta; Magnoliopsida; Poales; Poaceae. The record is from RNAcentral.